CACUGUUCCACUUUUAUUUUACUCCAUGAAGGAAAGACUACAAAAUGGGGAAGGUUUGAUACAGGGCACCAUAAUCCCUUCACCAUACCAGCACAUCCACAGGAGCCCUGCCCAGUUGCUAUGCCAACCCUGAUGAUCCCAGACAGAAGACAAUCAAGAUCACAAAGAACUUGCAUAUGGGAGUGGAUUCUGCAUGGACUGGAACAAAGGACAAUGAUCAGAUCUUCCCUCAGGGGGCAGGAAACUGCGACUUCAGAAAAUGACUCAUGGGGAGGGGUAGAAGGGAACCAGCCAGGUGACAGGACACCCAGGUUACCACCACAACUCCUCCCUCAACCCCUCCUUUCUGUAAUGUAUGCAUGAUGUUUCUGGGGGUGGGCUUGACCUAGAGGAUGGGAAUUUCAAAAGUUUUUAUAAGGUCUUGCACACCAUUUUCUGUGUCUUUUCCUCUCUCCUGCAAGUGAGGGGAACACCCUGUUGCAACAGUUCAAUAAAGGCCAAGCCUACAGGCUGCUGAUUCGCUCCAAUUUACUCUGGUUGGUGUCUUUACUUUUUGUCCAAGGGAGCCCUCGGAUUUUUCCGGUAACAAUACAGUAAGAUUUGAGCUUACAGAGUUCCUUUGAACUGUGCGUCAUAGCAUUAUAUUUCCCGGCAUUACAAAAGUACUUUCACAAUACCCAUCCCACACAUUAAAUCAUACAGAUUGCAACUUCAUAUAUAUGUUUUGAUCCAGCUCAUAAGUGGUGUCACUUUAUAAAGCCAUGCAUACCAGUUCUGUGAACCGCCCUGAUCUUUUCUGUGAACACCCUGAGACCUCUGGGUAUAGGGCAGUAUAUAAACCCAAUUAGUAAUAAUAAUAAUAAUAAUAAUAAUAAUAAUGUGGGAUAUGCAUUCAAGCUGCCCCUUCACAUGCUAUAGUUUCCUGCAGUUUGGCCCCAGGCCUUGGAAUAUUCAAGUGCUUGUGUCUCCUGCUGGAAGCCCCCUGCUGUUUGGAUUGGGGUUUUCAAAGCACCAUUCCCCACCCCCCAUCC
Podarcis lilfordi (Lilford's wall lizard) is the source of this 1031-nucleotide non-coding RNA. NCBI's taxonomy places the organism in Eukaryota, Metazoa, Chordata, Lepidosauria, Squamata, Lacertidae. The record is from the annotation of a GenBank genome assembly.